Lycium barbarum (goji berry) is the source of this 2478-nucleotide long non-coding RNA. RefSeq lists it as uncharacterized. The record is from RefSeq and is a predicted model, not a curated record. NCBI's taxonomy places the organism in Eukaryota, Viridiplantae, Streptophyta, Magnoliopsida, Solanales, Solanaceae. The transcript is spliced from 3 exons.
CUUAUUAUCUGCCACAAUGCACCUCUUUACACACUCAGACUAAACAUAUACACAAAAUCACUCCACUUUCCUAAUUCACAAACCCUAGCCGUUCAUUACAAUCCUCAAUCCUUUGUUGUUGCCUUUACCCUUCUACUAUGCGAAUAUAGUUGAGUUGUUGCUUCCCCGUUUUCCCCUUUUACUGUGUUUCUCUCCAACUCCUUAUUGUUCUUGUCUUCUUAUACUCUGCUUAUUUUUCCACUCAGUGAUUUUUCAAGGCAUAGUGGUCUUUUCUGCCUGCUGCUUAGAGGAAAUAUUUGCCCUGUGAAUACUUAUUGCUCUUUACCUAUUUGUGAAUCUGCCUGAAUGAGACAUUACCUUUGUGGCUUUUCUUAUGUAGCCUUCUGUUUCCCCUGUUGUUGUCAAUUUUAUGCUUUAGGCUUCAUAGAAUGCUUGACUUAACUUUUGCCUUAUACGUCUCCAGGAAAAAAAUAUAUUCCAAUGAAUCUCAUAUUAGCUUUUCUCAUUGAUUUGUUCGACAAUGGUUCUUGUAAUAAGCUGGAGUAAAUUUUUAUAAAUACUCUGUUACAAUUUCUUUUGUUACAAUUUCUUUUCCCUUUCAUUUGUCGCACAUCUAACUAUCGAAAAAGUUGUUCGCAUGAUGACUUAACAUAUUGUAUGUCUGAAUAUUGUUUGUUUUACAACUUUAUCAUUAUAUAUUAGAACGACGCUCACAAAAUGGAGCAGAGACUUAACAUCGUAGCAAUCACACCGAUGACUAAAGACUGGACUUGUAAACUCCAGGCCGUAGAUAAAGUUCGCCCAAGGGAGAGCAGGGAUCAGCUGACACGCUUUCAGAUAAUUAUUGUCCAGGAUGAGCACGAAGAACAGGUUUGCCUAAUAUUGUAUGGAGAUGAUAUUGGUCACUAUGCCAGAAUGAAUUGAUGCCUGUUGAACAUAUCAAUCAACAACUUAAAUAUAAACUUUUCAGGCUUCAGUUACAAAAAUUGUUAUUCAGAACGCCAGAUAAAAUAGCUAGUACCUUGGUUGUUCUUUGUUGUUCUAUCAUAUACUCCACAAGAAACCAUGUUUUUGGCAGAAUCUUCAGCAUCUACAUCAUCGGACGACGAAACCAAGAAAUAAAAAACGGAAACAACUACUCCAUCGAAAAUUCAUCAGAGCGUAGAGAACAAAAGCUACACCUGAUGAGCUCACCCAGAUGGUGUGGCGUGUACAACUGCAUUUUCCUAGGCCGCACUGAUCGUUACACUAGUAGUGCUUGAUGGAAGCUUUGGUGUUUGAUAGAAAUUUCAAAUGCUUGCCCGAAUCAACAAAAUGCUCAGUUUUUUUUUUUUUUUUUGUGUGUGUACAUUACUGUAAAUAGUGUGUACUUAUGUUUGUAAGCACAGGCUUUAGAUGUAGGAAACAGUUAUUUCACUUGAGCGACUUUUGUACAAUGUCUUAUCUGCGAGCUUCUAUUUUCCCUUUACGUUUACUGGGAAAAGACAUAUGUCUAACGUAGCAACAUAUUAGCUGUGGAUUCGCUUGCAUAGUACAAUGACUGCCUGCCUGUAAGCUCAUACAGUGGAGUUUUUAAAGAUGGUCUUAUUGACGAAAUUAUACAACAGAAUUGAUAUAAUAAGAUGGAAAACUAAAACAACGAUGUGAAUUUUGUUCAUAAAUCAUUCUUGAUUUUAAUACAACUUAAUAUUCAUAAUCGAUAAUCUUAGAAUUUACAUUUACAAGUUUUAAAAUAUCUUUACACCUUCACAAAUUUGUUGCACCUCUGAUCUCACACUUAUCUAUUUGUAGCUUCAAGAUAAGUACAACUUUCCAAUUGAAAAUGAAUUACUAAAGUAUUACAAAUUAACUGUAUGGAUAAUCACAUAAGAAGAAUUUUAUCUAUUACAUGUAUAAAAAGCUGGCAAUACAAUGGUAACAUGAUAAGAACUUCCAGCAAAAAAAAAAAAAAAGACCUUUGUUAGAUGUAUAACUAUACUAAUAGAAAAUAUUAUAGAAAUUACCCUAGAGUCGGCUGCUUAUACUAGAAGCUUUCCUACAUCUUACACCUACUAUACACAGUGACCACCUCAUUUUAUUUCUAUUUACCACAAUCAAAAUUUCCACCCAUCUAAAAUUUCCACAUUUUAUGCACCUUCCACAUACGCUUGGUCUCAUACUGUCAAUAUUACAAACACUGUACAAGUUCACGUUUCUGUCAAUAAAUCUUCAUGUUAAUGACACGGUGCAACAAUUCUAAACAAUGUGCUUAAAUUAUCCAACAGCAGAAAUUACAUAUCAAAACAUACAAUUUUAAAACGCAACAUAACUGUUGUAGAAUCUAUUGCCAAUCAACAUAAACUGUGUGAUAAAACAUCUUGUUAGUUGCCCAAAUAAGAAAAAAAUUAUCAUUAAUUUUUUUUGACACGGCUGUAGGCAUUUUUUAGCUUGAAGUGCAAACCCAUAUUUGUUGUACCAUGGUUUUGGAAUAUUCGAACA